Aedes albopictus (Asian tiger mosquito) is the source of this 1241-nucleotide long non-coding RNA. RefSeq lists it as uncharacterized. The transcript has 2 exons. The record is from RefSeq and is a predicted model, not a curated record. Lineage: Eukaryota; Metazoa; Arthropoda; Insecta; Diptera; Culicidae.
UUAAUUUCCUUACUUUAGUAUUUCAUUAUUAUUAUUCUUUUAAACUUUUAAAUUAUUAUUUCAAUUACUUUAAUGGCAGAAAAAAAAACUGAAAUUAAAUUUGAAUAAGGAAUAGAAAAUUGAAUUAGAAAAAAAACAUCGAUAAAUUUUGUCCUACCUGAGCACCCCUAUUUCCACCUAAAUUGCACCUCAAAAGACAGCAGCCGUUACUCCAUCGCAACAAUCCACCUCGCGACACCCCACAUCGCGAGCCGUCUGUCAGUACGAUAGUAUUGGUACGAUGUAGACUCCCGACGCCAACGAAGGAAUAAAACUGCUCGUCAUCGUGGAGCAGGGAUCAAUAGUGAACGCCUAGUAUGGCUUUGUGACACCAGUCCAGCUUGGUUGAACCAGCACGUGCAAGAGAAGCCGCCGGUGUGCCAGAUUCCUGUUGGCCCGGCAGACACGGAGAAAUCUUGCGGAGUGAAACGGAUGGAUUGCCGGUGUGCCAGAUUCUACUUGGCCCGGCCACCCGCAGAAGUGCAAGUUGUGUAAUAAAACGCCAAGAAGAACAGAAGAAGCCAGUGUCUCGAUUUAGGCGUGGUAGUGAAGUGAUCGGAGGAAUUACCGGCGCGCCAGACCCAAUUUGGCCCGGUCGUCCGUACCAACAACAUCCAGACGGGAAUCUCCGGUGUGCCAGACCCUACUUGGCUCGGUUGCCCGUUCCGACAGUCCGACGAAGAAGCCGCAGUGUACCCGUACCAGCAUCCAAACGGGAAUCCCCGGUGUGCCAGACCCUACUUGGCCCGGUCGCCCGUUCCGACAACCCGACGAAGAAGCCGCAGUGUACCCUUUCAGUAUGGCGCUGGACCCGAGUGAACGGCUGAAGACACUCGCUGGUCAUUCCGGCGAGCCCAGGAUCUAAACCGUCGGGACGACUCUCACCGACUAGUUUUGAAGGUCACCUGAAGGACGAGAGAGGUCCCAUGUUCGAACCAGGAUCGAGCAGCCUUUGGUCGGUAAUGUGCAUUAUUUCCUUACUUUUCCCAUAUCCUUCAUUGAACUUUUGAUUUGAAUCUAACGAGCAUGAAUAUAAACCCGAAAUGUUAAAUUAACUAGCCUGCAGUGUUGGAAAUUAUUAUAUAACCGCUGAGCCCUAAAAUCAACCAUCUUUCGUGUCUAGUCUACCUUGCCAGUUUUUUUUAGGGGAAGAUUGUCCGUAAUCCAUCCAAUUUCCUCGUCGGAGCCAUAGUGAACGACCC